RNAcentral lists this ribosomal RNA (522 nucleotides) under uncultured bacterium. Its description in RNAcentral is "partial 16S ribosomal RNA". It matches the Rfam family "Bacterial small subunit ribosomal RNA", at positions 28 to 507 of the family's 1533-position model. The record is from RNAcentral.
GAUGAACGCUGGCGGCGUGCCUAAUACAUGCAAGUCGAACGCUUUGUCUUUAAUUGAUAUGAAGAGCUUGCUCUGAUUUGAUUUUAUCUGACAAAGAGUGGCGAACGGGUGAGUAACACGUGGGUAACCUACCUCUUAGCAGGGGAUAACAUUUGGAAACAAGUGCUAAUACCGUAUAACACUAACAACCGCAUGGUUGUUAGUUGAAAGAUGGUUCUGCUAUCACUAAGAGAUGGACCCGCGGUGCAUUAGCUAGUUGGUAAGUUAAUGGCUUACCAAGGCGAUGAUGCGUAGCCGAGUUGAGAGACUGAUCGUCCACAAUGGGACUGAGACACGGCCCAUACUCCUACGGGAGGCAGCAGUAGGGAAUCUUCCACAAUGGGCGCAAUCCUGAUGGAGCAACGCCGCGUGUUUGAUGAAGGGUUUCGGCUCGUAAAACACUGUUAUAAGAGAAGAACGACAUUGAGAGUAACUGUUCAGUGUGUGACGGUAUCUUAUCAGAAAGGAACGGCUAAAUACGUG